UCUUGGCCUGUAUUCAACUGCAUUGUUGUGAGCAGUUGGGCGCUGCAUCUCCAGAUUGGGACAGUCCUAGCUUGCAAGCAACAAUGUUGUGCAUUUGCAGGUCGAGUGCGCCGAGACUUUCGAGAAGGCGAUAUGAGCUCAAUUUUGAGGCCAGCUUGCUGGUACCCGGAUUGGAGGAAUGUUGUUCGUUUUGGAUGUGAAUGGGGGAAAGGUUUUCCGGGCUCGUAUGGGUUCGAAUUGGUGUGGGGUGGCAGUUGCAUGCAACAUGUGCCUUCUGCCAAUUCGGUCCUGUGCGAGCUCACAAUCCCACUCUCGGCGUAAAAGUUGGUCAUCUAUCCGACCCGUCUUGAAACACGGACCAAGGAGUUUAUCGUGUGCGCAAGUCAUUGGGUGUUGAAAACUCAAAGGCGCAAUGAAAGUAAAGAAUCCGCAAGGAUACGACGUGUGAUCUGAGCAAUCACGAUUGCCUGGAGCAACAUGGCCCCAUUCUGGUCGCUUGCGACGGGGUGGAGGAAGAGCGUACGCGGUGAGACCCGAAAGAUGGUGAACUAUUCCUGAGCAGGAUGAAAGCCAGAGGA
RNAcentral lists this ribosomal RNA (578 nucleotides) under Pratylenchus penetrans. Its description in RNAcentral is "eukaryotic LSU rRNA". It matches the Rfam family "Eukaryotic large subunit ribosomal RNA", at positions 436 to 859 of the family's 3401-position model. Lineage: Eukaryota; Metazoa; Nematoda; Chromadorea; Rhabditida; Pratylenchidae. The record is from RNAcentral.